AGGGAUGUAAGUGUAGCGGCAGCACACAGAGCUUUGACCUCUGACUGGAGCAGUUCAAAUCUGCCCAUCCCUG
This 73-nucleotide transfer RNA is filed under the name Hungatella hathewayi. Its description in RNAcentral is "tRNA-Gln". It matches the Rfam family "tRNA". Rfam says of the family: Transfer RNA (tRNA) molecules are approximately 80 nucleotides in length. Lineage: Bacteria; Bacillati; Bacillota; Clostridia; Lachnospirales; Lachnospiraceae. The record is from RNAcentral.